UGUUCUGUGGCGGGGUUGGUUAACGCGCCCUGUCUAGCGAACUUGGGGAGACGUGGGUUCAAACCCCACCUGAACUA
Non-coding RNA from Aedes albopictus (Asian tiger mosquito), 77 nucleotides. The record is from Rfam. NCBI's taxonomy places the organism in Eukaryota, Metazoa, Arthropoda, Insecta, Diptera, Culicidae.